RNAcentral lists this ribosomal RNA (652 nucleotides) under uncultured Staphylococcus sp. RNAcentral's name for it is "bacterial SSU rRNA". It matches the Rfam family "Bacterial small subunit ribosomal RNA", at positions 62 to 695 of the family's 1533-position model. Lineage: Bacteria; Bacillati; Bacillota; Bacilli; Caryophanales; Staphylococcaceae. The record is from RNAcentral.
UCGAGCGAACAGACGAGGAGCUUGCUCCUCAUGACGUUAGCGGCGGACGGGUGAGUAACACGUGGAUAACCUACCUAUAAGACUGGGAUAACUUCGGGAAACCGGAGCUAAUACCGGAUAAUAUAUUGAACCGCAUGGUUCAAUAGUGAAAGACGGUUUUGCUGUCACUUAUAGAUGGAUCCGCGCCGCAUUAGCUAGUUGGUAAGGUAACGGCUUACCAAGGCAACGAUGCGUAGCCGACCUGAGAGGGUGAUCGGCCACACUGGAACUGAGACACGGUCCAGACUCCUACGGGAGGCAGCAGUAGGGAAUCUUCCGCAAUGGGCGAAAGCCUGACGGAGCAACGCCGCGUGAGUGAUGAAGGUCUUCGGAUCGUAAAACUCUGUUAUUAGGGAAGAACAAAUGUGUAAGUAACUAUGCACGUCUUGACGGUACCUAAUCAGAAAGCCACGGCUAACUACGUGCCAGCAGCCGCGGUAAUACGUAGGUGGCAAGCGUUAUCCGGAAUUAUUGGGCGUAAAGCGCGCGUAGGCGGUUUUUUAAGUCUGAUGUGAAAGCCCACGGCUCAACCGUGGAGGGUCAUUGGAAACUGGAAAACUUGAGUGCAGAAGAGGAAAGUGGAAUUCCAUGUGUAGCGGUGAAAUGCGCAGAG